AUACGGAAGGUGCAAGCGUUAUUCGGAAUCACUGGGCGUAAAGGACGCGUAGGCGGGUUGGCAAGUCAGAUGUGAAAUCCUACAGCUUAACUGUAGAACUGCAUUUGAAACUGCUAACCUAGAGUAUGGGAGGGGGAGAUGGAAUUAGUGGUGUAGGGGUAAAAUCCGUAGAUAUCACUAGGAAUACCGAAAGCGAAGGCGAUCUCCUGGAACAUAACUGACGCUAAGGCGUGAAAGCGUGGGGAGCAAACAGGAUUAGAUACCCUAGUAGUCC
RNAcentral lists this ribosomal RNA (274 nucleotides) under uncultured bacterium. RNAcentral describes it as "partial 16S ribosomal RNA". It matches the Rfam family "Bacterial small subunit ribosomal RNA", at positions 523 to 796 of the family's 1533-position model. The record is from RNAcentral.